CCUGGCGGCCAUAGCACGCUGGAACCACCCGAUCCCAUUUCGAACUCGGAAGUGAAACGGUGUAGCGCCGAUGGUAGUACGAGGUUUCCCUCGUGUGAGAGUAGGUCAUCGCCAGGG
Molecule: ribosomal RNA, 117 nt
Filed under: Gammaproteobacteria bacterium RIFCSPLOWO2_02_FULL_61_13
Lineage: Bacteria; Pseudomonadati; Pseudomonadota; Gammaproteobacteria
Source: RNAcentral